RNAcentral lists this long non-coding RNA (1805 nucleotides) under Olea europaea subsp. europaea. Lineage: Eukaryota; Viridiplantae; Streptophyta; Magnoliopsida; Lamiales; Oleaceae. The record is from RNAcentral.
AUUCUUCUUCUCCUCCACCACCCCCUCCCUUUCAACAAAGUUUAAGGUUCAUACUCUAUCCCAUAGACCUUAAGUUCUCACAUUCAUCAAUGGGUCAAAAAAAUUCCAAGAACAUUCCGACUCCGUCCAUUGUGGUGGGGAUGGUGGCAGUGAAAAAUUCACCAUUCUUUACAUACAUAUUCCCAUGUAGUGGACUCAACUCUAACAGUAUAAUUAACUUGAGUCAUAUAUUUCCAAAGGGGGCUCCCAUUGAUGACAUGAGUACUCAAACAUUAUCAACGCGAUGUUGACAGUGAUAACGUGUAAGACGUUUUAUCAAGGUCAAGGGCUGAAAUUGAUGAAGAGAGCUAUAUCAAAACCUUCCAUAGAUGUUGCAUCUCCUUCUUUCCUACAUUCAUCAGAUAAACUGAACCAAUCCCUCGUCGAUGUUCCCCUCAAUGGCGACUAUUAUCCUUCUUGGCGUCUUGUCAUAACCCGAGCCCUGAAUGCCAAAAACAAGCUUGGUUUUGUCCUUGACACCGUUAAACAUCCAACAGAUGAUCGUCGUUGUUCAACUUUGGGAUCGAUUUUGUAAUAUGACUGUUAUCUUACAUGGAGUCUCAUCUACUAUGAUAAACCACACGAUCUUUGGACCGAAUUGGAGACUCGGUUUCAAAAGAGCAAAAAACCAAGAUCUUCAGGCUCGAGCAUGAACUGGCCAAUCUCCACCAAGACCAAUAGUCCAUCACCGAUUACAGUAAAUUGAAAGAACUUUGGGAUGAACUAUUUUCCCUACAACUAAUCACUCCAUGUACCUGCGGCGCAAACAAAUUCCCUUCUGAAAUUCAAGAUUCUGAUCGAGUCUACCAAUUCCUAACGGGCUUGAAUGAUAGCUUUCAAUAACUCCGAUCACAAAUCCUAGCCACAGAUCCCCUUUCUUCAAUUGGGCGUUGUUAUGUAAUACUGCACCAAGAAGAAACAUAACGGUUGGUCCAAAUCCCUUCUUGCUCAGAGAUGUUGGCUUUCCUCACUCACUCAAUACCUCAAUAAAACUCACGUCGACCCCGUCGCACUUGGCUAGCUAGAACACCGCUUUGUGAGGAGUGUGGGAAACCCGAUCAUUUUUGUGCAAAGUACUUUAAGAUUCUUGGUUACCCAGACUGGUGACCAUCAAAAAAUAAGAGCAACCCACUGAUAGCUAGGUCUUCAUCGCACGCGCUUGUGCACCAAGCUGUCAUACGUAACUCUGUACCUUCAUUUAGCUUGGACAGCUCUGAGCCCAGCAAUCUGAAUGGGUUUUUUUUUACCUUAAAUAGGCUUUCAACUGAACAAAUGGCCCAAUUAAUGGAGCUCCUCAAACUCUCAAGUUUUUCAAUUUUCCACCAUGGAUUAUUGAUAGAGAUGCUACGCACCAUAUUACCACUUCACCCUUAAAUAAAUCACACACUACUGCAUUUCCAUCUUUUUUGUGUUCCCAUAGGUGCUAAUACCCUCGUGUCUUGUACGAGUGACAUUUCUCUAUCUCCUAACCUUACACUUUCUAAUGUUCUAUCUACUCCUGAUUUUAAAUUUAAUUUAUUAUCUAUCAGUCGAUUAACAAAAUCCCUUAAUUGUGUUGUCUCUUUUUUCUCACCUUUUGCACUUUUCAGGACCUAACCACAAAGAUGCUAAUUGGCAUGGGUGAAGAGUGUAAUGGACUAUACUAUUACAAAUGUGCUCCAGCAACUGCUCUACAGUCAUACCUCAUUUGAUACAUGGCGUCAACGUUUGGGUCACCCUUCUUUACAUAAUGUUCCACAUUUUAUUUCUCAUCCACAAGUUAUUGA